GUUUUCGGCUGUUCGCACGGUUUAGGCCGUGAGGAAAGUCCAGGCUCGCCCAUGCUGAGAAGUACUUGAAAUAGUCGCAUGGAGUGAUUGUGGUCGCGGAAAAAAUAACGCGGCGCAGGUAAGUCAUACCUGACGGCAGGAAAAUCGGCUAAAGCGCUUGCGCCAUUGCUGAAAGUCCCUUGAAAGUGGCAUAGAGACGAGUCUCGUGGGAAACGACGAGAGUGGAACGUGCUAAACCCCUCAAGCGAGCAACCCAAACUACGGUCGGGGCACUUACGAAGGCUGAAAUGAAGGCACUUCGGAGAUAAGAAGAUGUUAAUGCAAAUGAAAUUGAGCAGGGCAAACUCGUUUUGAGUUGCUACUCAAUCAGGCACUUUAACUUCGUUAAAGUAAAUAAAUGCCUGAUUUCGCUACUAUCAAAGCGAAAUGCAUUUGCCUUAGCAUCUUGUUAUAGACAGAUGAACAGACAGAAAAGGCAACUUUUCGGACAUAACUUGGCUUAUAGAA
RNAcentral lists this RNase P RNA (507 nucleotides) under Streptococcaceae bacterium. RNAcentral describes it as "RNase P RNA component class B". It matches the Rfam family "Bacterial RNase P class B". From Rfam's summary of the family: Ribonuclease P (RNase P) is a ubiquitous endoribonuclease, found in archaea, bacteria and eukarya as well as chloroplasts and mitochondria. Lineage: Bacteria; Bacillati; Bacillota; Bacilli; Lactobacillales; Streptococcaceae. The record is from RNAcentral.